Molecule: long non-coding RNA, 1258 nt
Filed under: Malus domestica (apple)
Lineage: Eukaryota; Viridiplantae; Streptophyta; Magnoliopsida; Rosales; Rosaceae
Description: long non-coding RNA (MDOM_LNC001441)
Source: RNAcentral
UGAUUAAUCUUUGGUUAACCUUCAUGGGUCCAAUACAUUUGCAUCAACAAGUCUCAUGAAGAGACAACAUAUAUCAUGAUGCAACCAAUUUCCAUGCCACAAAACCACAAACUAUAAUGCUGCUCAUAGUGGAAAUAUUUGCAACUGAAAACACAUAACCUUAUUCCUGGAUCAUACAUUACAUGAGUUACCUUCAUGAAAAAACAUUCAACACCUUUGGGCAAGAUGAAGCUUUCACAAACUCUUGAGAAAAAGAAUCCAUACUCUGCCAUCUUAAUUGAACCAAAAAUAACGAUCUACACCUUUGGGCAAGAAGACCAUCCCCUUGUUAUAAUUAAGAUGCAAGUUUGAUCAAGGAACUUUGACAUCACCGGUCCUAAUAUCAACUAAAACCAUUGCACUUUGCUUAGUUGAUGCAAGUGUGUGAUAACUUUGAUCAAAUUCAACCUGAAAUUAAAUAAAAAACAAGCACAUAGAGUGAAUAGUAGGUAUUUAAGUGUACAAAGCAAUGAUAUGUUUCAUUAUUUUGUAUUCUAAGUUCACCAAAUUCAGCACUUGAUCAGACAUGCUUUCCGAUGCUUCAAAGCCAGCACUUCGCAUGCUGCAAAGGCCAAACAAGUAGCACAGCGUAGACUAUAGACUAGAUAACUAGCCGUCACACCUAAACACACUUCGAAACAAAUUCUAUUUCCAGAAUGUUAUGAGAAGCACAAGGCAGCUGAAAUAGUAUGCAGUAAGUUCACCAAUAAUUGUUUUAAGUAAAAACAAUAAUAAGAACCCAACUCAGCAAGCAAAAAUUGAGUGUUACAAUUAAACAAAUGGAAGAGGUAAGACUCACUUUGAUAUUCAAUUAAUUUCAAUUUUCAACAUGCUUGAAAAUGAUCACAUCAUAUAUUAUCAAGUACAAAGAAUAAAAUAUCAUGUACGAUAUAGUGGUUUUGCUGGCUUUGGUUGUUGAGAUUCAUACAAAUUUCCUAAGUAUAAGAUUUUAUCAAAGUUGCCUACAUUUCAUCAUAGCACUCCAACUUCGUUUUCAAAUUCAAGUGCAUGCAACAAUGAUUUAGUUGUAUGUUAUCCAGCCUAACAAUUAGCUCCUAACAAUUAGCUUGAUGUGUUGGCACACUUGCUUACCAAUUAAAUCAAGCUCACAUUUCAUAUGCACAAUAAAAACAUAUUGCUUUACCACAUCACUGCUAGAGUGAGAUUCAGAAUAUAUGUAUACAAUCAUUGGUAGACAUAUUAAAAUAAGACAACAAAA